Molecule: RNA transcript, 6758 nt
Organism: Pararge aegeria (speckled wood butterfly)
Lineage: Eukaryota; Metazoa; Arthropoda; Insecta; Lepidoptera; Nymphalidae
Exons: 2
Source: RefSeq, a predicted model, not a curated record
CUAAUAAAGUGUUCGGUGGUUUAAACAUACCCGCCGUUCGGGUCGCGUACGUGCACGGUUCGGUCGAUCCGUGGCAUGCACUCGGUAUGACUACUACGCAGGAUAACGACGCGCCCGCUAUCUUCAUUGAAGGUACAGCACACUGCGCGAACAUGUAUCCACCCAGCGAGGACGAUCCAGCGAAGCUAGUCGCAGCACGUGUUGAGAUCCAGUCCUACAUCGGCACGUGGUUGAAUCUUGCCUGAACGACGGCGCUGCACCAAUCUCUUAAGGCAAGCCCGCAUCUUGUGGGAGGCACGAAAAUGAGAUAUUUGUAUGUAGUAAAUCCAUAUAAGGCUUUUUCUUUUUUUUUCCACAUUGUGUUUAUUUAAGCUCUGUGUUUUUAUAAAUGUUAUGUUGUAGUUAAACUGUAAAUAAGUGCGCAUUUAUGUCGUAAGUAUCAGAUAUGGUUCGCUAUGUGUAUCGGAGGAGUCGAUCUAAAUUCAGAUAAGAAGGCUUCAUUACUCUUUUACUGUCUACUUUUUCUUAAAACACUGACAAGUGCAAGUUGGUUUACGCAAUCUAAUCCAAAAUCUUUAGUUGACAGAGUUAAUUUAGUAUAAUUUAGUAGUGCUAUCCAUAUCUACGGGGAAGAGUAUAGCACAACUACAUUUAAUCUGCCAUCUAAAUGUGUGUGAUUGGAUUGAUUAUUAAUUUCCGUAAGAGAUAGAUGGAUUUGCCUUUGACUGAAACAAGAUAAUGCUUUACCAACUUUACGUGAAUAUUCUAAGACUAAAAAUCUGUCUAGAUUUAAGAACUUAGGGGGAGGGGGGACUGGUGGAUGGGGGUUAUGGGUUAGGGUCUAAAGGGGUUACCAUCGGUUUGGCAUGGGAGGACGGAGAGACCAGGCAAUUUCAAUUUGAGUAUGCUCGGAUUCGGUUCAUUACGUUUUAAAAGAGGUUUAUUAUUGUGAUAUUUUCUCAUUGCCUCUUCCAUAUAUUUCUUUUAUGGGGAAAGACUUUUUACCCUUAACAUAUUUGCACGCUCGCAAUCGUAGAGUCGAUUUCGUGUAUCGAAACAGUUGAAGUUCUUAGUAAAACUUAUUAUGGUUAUUUUUUUAGUGUCGCAAAUUCUGAAUUAAUUUUCCAUAUUUACAAACGUUCUUGUUAGAUCUACUAUCUAGGCUGUUAAGUAAGUGAUUUAAGCUUUAAAACAAAAGGUUUGGAUUAUUAAACAUUCAAUUACCUGAAGUCUAUAUACUGCUACAAUACUCGAAAGCGUACUGUACUAUUUAUUGCAAGUGAACAAACUUUUACUAAGGGUAGAUAAUGUUACUUCUUGAAGUUGUAUAAUUUUGAACAAUCGUACUCGAUUGAUUAUAUUGUCCGUGCAGUCUCGGCUAAGAAUAAGACUGCUCCAGAUCUUUCCGUGGAUGUCGUAAAAGGCGACUAAGGAUUUAAAGUCGCAAGGUGGAUAAUAGUAUACUACUGAACAGAUGAUAUUAUUACCCAUCUUGCGAUACUGAAAAGGUGAUUACAACUGUAUGCCUUUGAACCGUAUGGUGGCGGUUAUCCACCAAUGCAAAUUCCCCAAGAGGAAAAACCCACAAGGUGCCUUCAAGCUAAGAGAAGAAGACAUGUUGCGUCGACCCCACGAAGGAAGUGUGGGAGGGCAAGGUAAAUAAUUAAAUUCUUACUUUGAGCUUUUAUGAUUUGGAUAUGAGGUUACCAUGGCGAACCACAGAAUGCAGCAAAAUCAAAAAUAACUAAUAGGUUCAUUAAUAUUAUUUUACUACGCCAACACAAAAAAAAUAUGAACAUAACCGAUUACAUCAUAAUGCACUUGACAUAAAUGCGCAAUUAUGAAAUAGUAGUAUCUAGUUCUUGAAACCAACAUAUUUUGUCGAUUUAGCUAUUCGAUUCGAUGAAAUUGUCUUGCAAAUGGAAAAAUAAUGUUUAACAUCUUAGAAAGCCCAGGAUGUUUUUUUUUGUUUUCUAUUAAAAGGUUAAGGUAAGGCGUUUUCACACUUGAAAUAUUCGGAUACCCUAAAUCAAAGGAUUCAUAACAUUUUUUUCAAGAAACUCGUGCUACAACUUCAAAACUUGAUUAGAUGGCCACAGAUGAUCUUAAUGGUCAGAUGGCUACAGGAAGAGCCGUACCGCCAAGCGAUUCAGCGGUGUGGUAUGAAGCCGCAUAGUUAGGGUGUAGUGUCGUCACUGAACAUCAGGUGAGAUCGUAGUCGUGAGCAUUGGAUAAAGACUAACUAUUACAUUUUCCGCCGAUUUUAUCUGUGAAAACGUUCUAUUUGCUGGGUUCGUAUUCGAGAAAGUUUUCAAAUUGGACAGGAGAGUUAUUUAUAAAAUGAUUGGGCACAGGAGACGGUUCGGUGUAUACUCACUGCUGGAUUUACGGUUUUAGGAUGUUUAGGUGUGAGGAUGUAGGAAAAUAGCUGUUGGAUCAGAUUUAAAAUUAUAGUAAAUGGAAUAGACUUGAAAUGUAUUGACAAGCCCAAUAACCUUUAAACGAUCAAACUGCACUUUUGAUUACGCUAUUAAGACAAGCGGUGCGACUUUUUCUAAAAAUGAAAAAAUCCGCUUUUCUUGUUUUCCCGGAAAUGACGAUAAACCACCCGAAUCUCCAUUCUCGUGGCUUCACUAUCCCAUUAUAUUAAAACUGGAAUAUUUAUAAAUUUGGUUUAGUUAUUACUAAGUGCAAGUUACUCUGUAAUACCUAAUCAAAAACAAAUCUAUACCGGAACCAACCGAUAUCCCACUAAGCAACACUGAAAUAUGUCCAACUGGCAGCAUUGUGACAAGAAUAACGUAAAGUGACUAAAUAUAUAUAAGGACAAGAAAAUAACGAGAGGAUUAAUUUUCUAGGUCCGGGGUAGCUAUAUCACGAAUUCUCAUUGGAAUUUGUCGGUUCGAGAGAAUUUGGUGCGAAAGAAAUCGGCAUAUAUUUCUUAUGGGCCCGUUAGAAGUAAUCCGUGAUAUCAGCUAUGUCUCAAGUAAAAAACACAAUAAGUCUUCCGAUAUUCAGACGAUGCCGAUUUUCGCUUUGAAAUUAAUAUAUUCUAUAUAUUUUGGAAUGAUAUUUUUUUAUAAUAUUUUUUGAUUGUUAUAAUGGUUCAUGACGCAUGGCAGCCGCAAUAGUAUUCAUACGUCCAUGAACAAACGGAAAUGCUCGUUAUAUUACUUAUACAUGAAGGUGCUCGGCAACAUAGGAGUCGGGGUUUUUGUACACCGGUGCGGCGAAUGGCAGUGGUUAAUUUAGCUAAUUGUAGCAUGGGUGUACGAAAUAUACCCAAAGUUUGAUGUCGAAAAUAAAGGGAAACUAUUAACCUCAUAAAGCAAUAAGAUUUGUGUGUUUUAUGUUCGAUUUUUUUCUCGUUCGGUAUUGUAACCGCAACCAAGGAAAACUACCUCAUGGUCCUUAUAGACGGCAACCGAGGUCUGCCUCGUUUCACUUUCAUUACGAGCAAACGACUAAUGAGCGUGCGACGAAGAUUUAGUUGCACAGAUUGAUUGGUAGCUUACCAGCCAACCUGUGUGACUAAGUGACCUUGGGUAUCAAUUGCGCUUAUUAAAUUCUAUUGACAGAUUCGAUGACUCAUCGCUCUUAACAUCUUGCGGUGCCUGAUAUAAGCGUAAUUGUACAAUUUUUCGCGUUUAAUUUCAUAGUUGAGUUAUGGACUAAAUACGACGCAGGCGCUUCGUAUAGUAUAUACCGUUAUAUUUAAUUCAAAAUUUAAGUUUUAGUCAAUGGUUAGAUCAAUUUUGGAUGUCGUCAUAGUCGAUGAAGCGCCGGCAUCGUGUUUCAGCGAAAAUAAUUAGUAGCUGAUAUUAGCAGUGCCUUAAAUCGGAGUAGUAUUUUAAGCAAGAGCCACCAUUUUCCCUAGAAUAUGAGUAGGUGCUUUGUUUAUGUACAAACAGCGUUUAAUGAUGGAACACAAAGAAGUUAUUUUUAUUAGAUGUGAGGAGAGAUCGUUUUUAUUUGCCAAACUGUAUUGGAGUUUGUACAAAAACAAUGUACCUUUUUUAUAGUAUAGCUAGGUGUAUAGCGAAAAAUCGGAUCGUCUUCCCCUCUCAAGAUCAUAUCCUAGUCAAGACCAUUAUUACUAGAUCGAGACAAUUCAUAAACAGUCCAUUUUAUUUCAUUAAUUUCUUCGAAACGCAAAACGGCGACUUAACGGUUGAACUUAUCUACCUUUGGUACGGGGAGUUCUACUGCAGAUCGCCACCUAUCAUAAGUCAGCUGGUACCUUAUCACCACCGUGUGUUCGACAACACCGAACACACUGGUGCACUGUGCUAAGGAACACUGGUUAAGUUGCUGUCUAGAGUUUCCAUUUAUUUGGUUAUUUUCACUUUGUUAAUCUGGCAACUUUUGUAAUGAUUAAGUUAAUAUUUCGGAUGAGCAUAAUAUAAAGUGUCAUUUUAACAAAAUUCAUCAUCUCAUAAGAAGUUCGUUGUGACAGAUCCGUAGAACUUUUGGAGAACUUUGUAACGUUUUCGCAUUGUUUGCGGUGUACGUGCCUUAGUAUAAUAUAGUAUAGUUUAUGUUGAUAUGCGGUUAGAAGUUUACUAUCCUGUAGGCUCGAAGUCUUAUCGAACUGUCAAAACGUUCCCAUUAGGUAUUUUUAAUUUCCAUUAUACUUAACUUUAAGUUAAAUCUUUUUAUUCCUUAUUUUUCAAGUCUCACUUCACUUUUCUAUGUACUUACUGCAUUUUAUUGAAGAUAUUUGUGGUGUGUCUUGUAACAACAUAGGUACUACCAACACUUGACCAUAAUAGACAACAUCGAAUAACUUCAAAAAUGCAAAUUUGAUGAAUUCCGAUACUCAUCCGUACUGGGAACGUUCCCAGUUUUGCAGUUUGUACUGAAACAUUCUAAUUAAUGGGCUUGUUGAUAUGAUAGAGUGUUUGGUCCCUAACACUGUGAGUCGGAUGUAAUAAAAAAAAACCCAGAUUUCAUCUUGUGAUCUGGCAGGUUAUUUCGUUAUGUCAGGUAAUGAUUUACACAAUUUUACCUUUAACAAAGAGGAAUUCAUGGCAAAACCAUUACGCCGGUUUACCUAAAUAUAAUUGAGUGGUUAUAAUUUAAAUUUUCCACGUUUAACCAAUCCAAUAUAUCGUGAUCUAGUAAUUACAAAAUAUCGGUGGAUCAACAAAGUUUACGAACUAAAUAUGACCACUAUCCUUUGAUAAGUGAAUGAUAAACUGGAAUAAGAAAAUUAAAUUACAAUAAACCAAAUAGCUGGGAGAUCAUAAAAUCGAUUAUAAUAAUUUUAGAGCGAAAUAAACCAAAAUUGCGUCUUGAUUUUCAUUUUAUAAGCUGAUUCAACAUACUAUUUUCCUACUUAUUGAGUAGACGGUUCCAUCCUUUUAAUAUUUCUUAUAUGUUCUAACAUAUAUUUUCUGUAACUUUAUGUUAAUAUUGUACCUUGUUAUUUUAUCAGAUUUUGAUAUUGUUUGAUUAAGGUUCAUUUGAAAGUAUAUAUUUUGUGUUUAUUACCUUUAGUUCCUCCAAUAAGUAAUAAUAGAAUAUCAGCAAUGAUGUUCUUUUAUUCCUGACAUGAGUGAAGGGAUUGGAGUAUGAGAGAAGGAUAAAAGAAAGUAUAGAUAUAAUCCAUUUAAUAUUCGUAAUAUUUAUCGAUAUAUAAUCACAUUUAUUGGCUUGAGGGCCCGCGUCAGUGUUGUGUGUUAUCCGGAAAGGCGCUAUGAGUGUAUUUUCGUGGAAGAUGGUUUCUUAUGGGCUUCGGCCCUCUGUCGCACGGUCGGUGGCAUGGCACUCUCUUGCGCUUUGCCAAGCGGCGCUGUAGUGCGGUCGGCCGUGCAUCGGGGUCACGCGUAGAUGAAUACAACCCUACACCACCACUGAAAGCCGCGUGCUCUAACAUCGAGCGCAACUAUUCAUACAGUGAGAGUAACAAUUGCAUACCUCUACGUUUGGCCCGAAGGUAUUCAGAGCCACGUGCUCCUUUUUAAUGUUCUAUUUAGUGGCGUGGAAAUAUUUAUUUAUGGAGAAGGUUUCUUCGUAUGGUAAGGGAAAACAGAAUUAUUAGUCCUUCAAGACUAAUUUUGUGGUUGGCUACUUACAGUGGUGUCAAUCUUACGUAAGGCGUUAUGCUGGUUGGUAGAACAAGUUUCCCCUUAUACAACACGGCGAACGGGUAUUUUUGCUUAAUUUACUCAUAUAAUAUUCGCAUAUUAAUCUCUUAUUCUAUAUAAUAGUAAUCGAUGUUGUGUGUGUACUUUCUCUUUUCCCAACAUUAUCUACCGCUCUCCUUCUCCCCUCAGCCGUAAUAUCACAAAAUGUUUCGACCGUUUUAUUAUUAUUUAAACAAUGUCUGAUGUAUUGUCUUUAACAUUGUGUUUAAAACAAUUACGGUGUUAUUUUAGAAUUAUAUUUAAGUUUUUUUUUAAUAAAAUUUAACUAUUUUUAUAAUGAAACAAUUUAUAAUAAUUUCCUAUUAAAAUUUCUCUUACACUUUGUAAUACAGUUAUUAAAUUAUGGUUAGAGGAUUUUCACAAUUGACAUCUGUGUGUCUAUAGCCGAUUUAGCAUAAUCUGUAAAGUGUACGUUUACUUACAAUGUAGCCUUAAAUAAAAUAUACUUUAUAUAUAAUUCAAUAAAAUACAUAAAACAAAAACAUGUUACACUUAAAGCAUUUCUAAUGAGUAUACAAAUUAUGGAAUAACCAAAAAAAUUAACCAUGCGCUUAGCAAUGAUAAAAAAAAAAAAAUUAUUCCAUGUGUACAUAAGACGAAAAGCUAUUA